GGUACCCAACAAGCAAACCUCUAAACACAAGUUAAGUGAACAAAAUACGGGUACUCCUUACACCCUAUCUAAACCUCCACGCUACAGCCUAACAGUUUACCAAACACACCACUCAAUAACCACACUCUAUCAGUUUACACAUUCUCAAUAACAACUCAAUAUUCAACAAUCACAGACUUCACAGAGAAACAAUCACAAGAUCAGCAAAACACAUGUUCAAGUUCAUCAAUAAUAAAAUGUGCAAUGCCAUGAGAUGCAAUGUCAAAUAUCGUGAUGCAUGUCUUUCCUAACGAUACACACCCGCUGUCUCUCAGUCCGGGACCCAUGGGAGACAUAUCUGUCCAUGCAUUUGUCGCGGCGCACGACACGACCCUCGAUAAGUAGUAACCUUCGCGGCGCGCGAUACGUCCCUCGAAAUAUAAUAUCCAUCGCGGCGUGCGAUACGACCCUCGAAAAUAGUACACCAUCCUCUUACCACAACCAUGUCUCAGAUACAAUGCAAAUGACAUGCUCAAAUGAAAAGGAGGAGAUAACCAUUUGAUAACAAAGCACAAUAUACAACAAGAAAUACAACACCAACAAAUACACAACAAGUCUCCAAAUCAUUCUCAACAUCACACAAGGAAAUACACGAAUUUCGUAUGCUUAAGAAGAGUUUAGAAAUCCACUUGCCUUAAAUCAACGAACAAUCACUCCGGGACUUGUGUUUUCCCCUUUCGUUGAGCUUCCAAACCAAUGCAAUCUAUUCAAGUAUAUAGUUGGAAUCAAAUUCCGACACUAACAACACUUAUGUUAUAUAGGUUUAGCUUAGACCGAAAAGCUUAUCCAACUUUAUAAUUAAGUUAACAUAUAAAUUCUCAUAUUUCCAAAUUUCAAGUCUAAAGUUAAAGCAUAAUUCCCCAAUAUCAUAAAUUUAAUGAUAUUCAUAUAACAUUUUAAUCUAAUAUUUGAUUACUUCUAUCACUAACUCAUAACUUUAAUAAUAAGGUGAUACCAUAUAUAUAUAUAUAUAUAUAUAUAUAUAUAUAUAUAUAUAUAUAUAUAUAUAUAUAUAUAUAUAUUAAUUUUUAAAGAAAGCACAGGGAUAAAAUAUUCGUGCAGUAGUGCUAAUUAACUAUCACUAUUCCUCACUUAAAUUUCCCAAGGAUCAUUGUCCAAUGAUUAGGCCAUCAUUGUCCAAUGAUUAGACCAUCAUUGAACAAUGAUUAGACCAUAGAAAUCAUCCAUAUUCAUACCCAACUCCAAUACGUAUAACACUGCCCCUUCCUUAUUCCAAAUCUCUUUUCUUUCCAUUCCAUUAUAAUAUCAUAUCAUAUAUAUAUAUAUAUAUAUAUAUAUAUAUAUAUAUAGCCAUUUAAUGAAAACAUUUGCACAAAAGCAUUUAAAUUAGGCAUAGUUUAAGCAUUAGUUCCUCCCCUAAAACUUCCAACCAACAUACUCCUUCCAAUUCUAUAUAUAUAUCCAAUAGUAAACAUUUUCUAUAUUUUAUAUAAAGUAACAUAAAGUAUUUAAUGCAUGCCUACCAAGAAUUGAAGAUGGCCGACGGGAAUUCUGCAAAUUUCUUUCUUUUUGUUUUUCCUCUUUGAUUGAUGCUGCGCUAGGUUACGUUAUUCCUCUCCCUUUUUCGUUUGUGUUUUCUGACUCUUUUUAAAAAAAAUUAAUUAUGUACUAAAAAUGAUAGGUUUUACCCACAUAUUUUAUUAAAUAUAGUCUAAAUGGUAUGGGGUCUUAAAUAAAUUAUCACUUUAGCCCAUAAACUAUCGAUUAAUUAACUUAAGUUAAAUAAAUAUUCAAAAUUCUAAAGAGGAGCUUUUGGGUCAUUACAUUAUCCACCACUAAAAAUCAUGUUCGUCCUCGAACAUAGAGUAAAAGUAAUUACCUGUAGCUUCAAAAAGUUGAGGAUAUCUAGCACGCAUGUCAGACUGAGUCUCACAAGUUUCCUCUCCCACUGAUUGGUGCUUCCAUUGCACCUUCCCUGAAGCAAUCUCUUUGGUCCUAAGCUUUCGAAUUUGCCUAUCCAAAAUAGCUAUAGGCUCCUCCUCAAAUGCCAAGUCUGGACCCAACUCCACAGAAUCAAGUGAAAGCACAUGAGAUUCGUCCGGAAUAUACUUUCGAAGCAUAGAGACAUGAAAAACAGGAUGUACUGCUGACAAACUAGGUGGCAAGGCCAACUUAUAGGCCACCUCUCCCACUCGUAUCUCAAAAGGGCCAAUGAAUCUAGGACUAAGCUUGCCCUUCUUUCCGAACCUCAUCACACCCUUCAUGGGUGAUACUCGGAGCCAAACAUGAUCACCCUCCAUAAACACCGAAGCUCUAACUCUCCGGUCUGCGUAACUCUUCUGUCGACUCUGAGCUGUCAAUAAUCUAUACUGAAUCAAACGGACUUGCUCCAUAGCAUCUCUCAACAAGUCUGUAUCCAAAGAGUCUAUCUCCGCCGAAUCAAACCAACCAAUCGGAGACCUACACCGCCUUCCAUACAACGCCUCAAAUGGGGCCAUCUGGAUACUAGAGUGAUAACUGUUAUUAUAAGCAAACUCCGCUAAUGGUAAAUGUUGAUCCCAUCUAGCACCAAAAUCGAUCACACACGCUCGAAGCAUAUCUUCCAAUACCUGAAUGGUCCGCUCAGAUUGACCAUCUGUUUGAGGGUGAAAUGCCAUACUCAUAUCUAACUGAGUACCCAGACCAUGUUGUAAUGCCUUCCAAAAGUGAGAAGUAAAUAGUGAACCUCGAUCUGAUAUGAUAGAAAUAGGAACUCCAUGUAGUCGCACAAUCUGGCUGAUAUAUAGCUCAGCUAACUUUUCUGCUGUAUACUUCACCCGAACCGGGAUGAAGUGGGCAGACUUGGUCAGCCUAUCAACAAAAACCCAAAUAGAGUCAUAACCACCCACUGUGGUAGGCAAACCCACGAUAAAGUCCAUAGUAAUCCGCUCUCACUUCCAAGUAGGAAUAGGCAUCCUCUGAGAUACACCCCCGGGCCGCUGGUGCUCACACUUGACCUGCUGGCAAGUCAAACACCUCGAAACAAAGUCUGAAAUAUCUCUCUUCAUCCCACACCACCAGUAAUGCUGACUCAGAUCAUGAUACAUCUUUCGCCGCUCCCGAAUGGAUGGAAUACCGAAAACAAUGGGCCUCCUCAAGAAUCAAUCUAAUCAAAUCGCCUGUCUUAGGCACACAAAUUCUGCCUCCGAUCCGUAAGACACCAUCAGAAUCAAGGACAGCCUCCUUAGCUUCCCCACUCAAUACUUUGUCUCGAAUGAGACAUAAUUUUACAUCAUCAAACUGGUGUGCACGAAUCUGCUCGACUAAAGAAGAUCGAGCCUCAAUAAAAGCAAUCAUUCCAUCACUCUCAUCUGAGAUCUGUAAUCGGACAAGACUGUUAGCUAACAAUUGAACAUCUCUAGCCAAUGGUCUUUCCUCAACACUAAGAGAUGCAAGACUCCCCAUGCUAUGAGUCUUCCUACUCAAAGCAUCGGCCAUAACAUUGGCCUUCCCCGGAUGAUACAGAAUGGUCACAUCAUAGUCCUUCAGCAACUCAAGCCAUCUUCGUUGCCUCAAGUUCAAAUCCCUCUGGCUAAAGAUAUACUUGAAGACUCCGAUGAUCAGUGAAGAUCUCACAAUGCACUCCAUACAAAUAAUGACGCCAUAACUUAAGUACAAAUACCACAGCCGCUAACUCCAGAUCAUGAGUAGGGUAGUUCUUCUCAUGGGACUUCAAUUGCCUAGAAGCAUAAGCAAUCACUUUCCCCUUCUGCAUCAACACACCACCCAAACCAAUUCCUGAAGCAUCACAAUACACAGUAAAGUCUAAACCUUCUUCAGGUAGAGUCAACACAGGAGCAGAAGUCAACAAAGUCUUGAGCUUUUGAAAGCUCUCCUCACACUCAUCGGACCACUGAAAACUCACAUCCUGUCGAGUCAAUCUAGUCAAUGGAGCUGCAAUAGUAGAGAAACUCUGAACAAAUCGUCGAUAAUAGCCUGCCAAUCCCACAAAACUCCUAAUCUCAGUAGGUGAAGUAGGUCGCGUCCAGCCUCUAACUGCCUCAAUCUUGGCCGGAUCUACUCUAAUACCCUCCUUGGACACCACGUGUCCCAAGAAUAUCACAGAAGUAAGCCAGAACUCACACUUUGAGAACUUGACAUACAACUUCUCUUCUCUCAACCUCUGAAGUACAAUCCUCAGGUGUCGAACAUGGUCCUCCUCAGUCUUAGAGUAAACCAAGAUGUCAUCGAUGAAAACAAUCACAAAAGAAUCAAGGUAUGGUCGAAACACCCCAUUCAUCAACUCCAUGAAUGCUGCAGGGGCAUUAGUCAAUCCGAAGGACAUCACUAGAAACUCAUAAUGCCCAUACCGGGUCCGAAAAGCUGUCUUAGGGAUAUCUGAUGCCUUAAUCUUCAACUGAUGAUACCCAGACCUCAAAUCAAUCUUAGAGAACAGUGAUGCUCCCUGUAAUUGAUCAAAUAAUUCAUCAAUACGCGGAAGAGGAUACUUGUUCUUCACUGUUACUUUGUUCAACUGUCUUCAAUACACAUCCUCAUAGUUCCAUCCUUUUUCUUCACAAACAAUACAGGGGCACCCCAAGGUGAUACACUAGGGCGAAUAAAACCCUUACUCAAUAAAUCUUGCAACUGAUCCUUCAAUUCUUUCAACUCUGCUGGGGCCAUACGAUAUGGAGGUAUAGAAAUAGGCUUAGUUCCCGGCUCCAAAUCAAUAGCAAAAUCAAUAUCCCUAUCGGGAGGAACACCCGGAAGAUCAGAAGGAAAUACAUCGAGAAACUCCUGAACCACGGGAACAGAGUCCAUGGAAGGUGGUUCAACACUAGUAUCCCGAAUAAACGCUAAGUAAGACAAACACCCCCUCUCCACCAAUUUCUAAGCACGGAUAAAAGAGAUGACCUUGCUAGGAUAAGAACCACUAGCACUCUUCCACUCAACCCUCGGAAUACCAGGCAUUGCUAAAGUCACAGUCUUAGCAUUACAAUCAAGGACAACAUGAUAAGGAGAAAGCCAAUCCAUACCCAAGAUAACAUCAAAGUCCACCAUCCCCAGAAUGAUUAAGUCCACCCAAGUGUCAUACCCAGCCAAAGAAACAAGACAUGAUCGAUAUACUCGAUCCACCACUAAGGGCUUACCCACAGGUGUAGAAACACGAAUAGGUUCAGUCAUGCUAUCACAUAUCAUAUCAAAUUUAGCAGCAAAAUAUGUAGACACAUAAGAGAAUGUAGAACCUGGAUCAAACAACACAGACGCAGGUCGAUGGCAUACUGGGAUGAUACCUGUAAUAACAGCAUUAGAGGUCUCCACCUCAGGUCUCCUGGGGAAAGCAUAACAGUGGGAUCCUCGUCCACCUCCAGCCUGGGUGGUACCUCUACCCCCACUCUGCUGAGCUGCAACACCAUUACUAGAAACUCCAUCACCUCUACCUGACUGAACUCUGCCACGACCUCUACCUUGUGGAGCUGGUGGUCUAGUCUGGAAUGAAGAAUUAGGUCGAGGCCCACCACGACCCCUUUGAGAAGUACACUGCCGCAUUAGAUGAUCGGGAUCUCCACAAGUAAAACAAAAUCUCUGACUUGGGAACUGCUGUGUGGACCCUGAAAACCCACUAUAAUUGCCUCGCCCUGUAGGUCGCUGCUGUGAACCGUACAAGCCCUGACCUGGGCUAUAAGAACCCUUAGAUGUCUGGCCACCCUCAAAUGUCGGCAUAGAUGCAUGAAUAGGUCCCCGCUGCUGAAAAGAACCACUCACUCUCUGUGAUCCCCUACCUACAGAUGAGGCACCAUGAAACUGGCCUGAUAUACGGGCUCUUUUAGGGUCCCCAAACUCCUCUAUCUCCAUCAAUUCUGCCUCUUUUGCGGCGCUCACAAUGGACUGGAAAGAAGCCCCCUCCCUAGAUGCCCGAAACACAGUUGACCUGAUAGAGAAAGUCAAUCCCCUCACAAAUCUGCGGAUCCUCUCUGUCUUAUUUGGAAUAAUGGCCAACGCAUGCCUAGACAACUGUCAAAAACGCGCCUCAUACUCUGUAACCGAUAAACCAUCCUGUCUCAGACUCUCAAACCUCAAGCGACUCUCCUCUCUCAUGCUCCAUGGGAUAAAACGAUCUUGGAAUGUGCUAGCAAACUGCUCUCAAGUCACUGGAGGAGAUCCAACUGGCAAACAUCCCGAAUAAGUCCUCCACCAGUCUCUCGCUGGUCCACGAAGCUGGAGUGUAGCAUAUCGAACCCCAUGUGACUCAGCCAAUCCAACCACCUCUAGUAACUCUCGGCAGGUAGUUAGAAACUCAUGAGCGUCCUCGCUCUUCCCACCCUGAAACUGAGGUGGGUCCAUCUUUCGAAAUCUCUCAUACCUACGUUGCUCAUCCUCUGUGAAAACAACCAUCGAUGCAACUUGACCCCCAACUGCUGGUGCAACAUCAUUCUGAACCGCGGGAUCUACUGGUAGUUGCCCCACCGCAUCCUGAACAACUGGAGCUUGUUGCUGCUCUUGGGUCUGAGCCCCCUCUCUAGUACGAGAGUCAUAUGGUGUGGUAGUCGCUCCACCACCCUGAGAAAAGCCCUCUAGCACACUUAACACCCUCAAUAGCGUAUCCUAAAGCAAAGGUGUGACUACGGAAUCUGGAGGAACCUGGUCCUCUUUGUCAUCAAUCUGAGGUUCGGUAGAGAUCUCUCUAGCACUACCUCUCAAUGGUGCUGCUCCACAUCCACGACCUCUGGCUACUGUCGUACUACUAGCACGACCUCUAGCUCGAGAUCUACCCCUACCCCUAGCUGGGGCCUCAACAACUGCCUCGGGAAGUGCCUCCACUCUACCACCAGUAACAUUAGUUCUAGUCCUCGUCAUCUGUCAAAAGAGUAUACAACAACUCAGUACUAAAGAAGGUGACUACGCACGAUGAGAAAGAAUGAACAAAAAGAAGUUUCCUAGUAAUCCUCAUAGCCUCUCAGAGAUGAGUACAGACGUCUCCGUACUGAUCCUUGAGACUCUACGUAGACUCGGCUUGUAUACACGUGAGACCUAUGAACCUGGGGCUCUGAUACCAUUUUGUCACGACCCAAAAAUAGGUGUGAUGUCACUUGUCUUAUCCCACCAAGACAAGUCAGCCUAAAACCCAAUAUCUAACAAAGUGCGGAAGUAAAUGACAAUCCAACAACAAUUUCUAGUAUGAAACCAAGUCAUAUUAAUUCAAUCCCCAAAACCAGGUUGUCACGUGCACAAGCCUCUAAUGUAAACAUUAGAAUUGAAAUAAAUUAGAAGUCUAAAAUGAAGUUGUUUUUCAAGUAAAAACAAAGUCAUAAACUGGAGUAGGAAAGUUCGCUGAGAUGACAAACAGCUACCUCACAAUCCUCCACAAGAUGCCUCGGAAACGAAGAGAAUGGAAGGUAUCACAAAAAUUCCGGCUCAUAACCUACAAAAAAAAUUUGUAGAAGCAAGGGGUGAGUACCAAACCACGCGGUACCCAACAAGCAAACCUCUAAACACAAGUUAAGUGAACAAAAUACGGGUACUCCUUACACCCUAUCUAAACCUCCACGCUACAGCCUAACAGUUUACCAAACACACCACUCAAUAACCACACUCUAUCAGUUUACACAUUCUCAAUAACAACUCAAUAUUCAACAAUCACAGACUUCACAGAGAAACAAUCACAAGAUCAGCAAAACACAUGUUCAAGUUCAUCAAUAAUAAAAUGUGCAAUGCCAUGAGAUGCAAUGUCAAAUAUCGUGAUGCAUGUCUUUCCUAACGAUACACACCCGCUGUCUCUCAGUCCGGGACCCAUGGGAGACAUAUCUGUCCAUGCAUUUGUCGCGGCGCACGACACGACCCUCGAUAAGUAGUAACCUUCGCGGCGCGCGAUACGUCCCUCGAAAUAUAAUAUCCAUCGCGGCGCGCGAUACGACCCUCGAAAAUAGUACACCAUCCUCUUACCACAACCAUGUCUCAGAUACAAUGCAAAUGACAUGCUCAAAUGAAAAGGAGGAGAUAACCAUUUGAUAACAAAGCACAAUAUACAACAAGAAAUACAACACCAACAAAUACACAACAAGUCUCCAAAUCAUUCUCAACAUCACACAAGGAAAUACACGAAUUUCGUACGCUUAAGAAGAGUUUAGA
RNAcentral lists this long non-coding RNA (8109 nucleotides) under Solanum lycopersicum (tomato). RNAcentral describes it as "long non-coding RNA (SLYC_LNC000002)". Lineage: Eukaryota; Viridiplantae; Streptophyta; Magnoliopsida; Solanales; Solanaceae. The record is from RNAcentral.